ACCGUGGCGGACGGGUGAGGAGCGCGUAGCUAACCUGCCCAGGUGUGGGGGAUAGGCCUCGGAAACGGGGUGUAAGACCGCAUACGCUCAUCUCUGGGGACGGAGGUGAGGAAAGGCCCUUUCGGGGGUCGCGCCUGGAGGGGGCUGCGUCCGAUUAGCUAGUUGGUGGGGUAAUGGCUUACCAAGGCGGUGAUCGGUCGCUGGUCUGAGAGGACGACCAGCCACACGGGGACUGAGACACGGCCCCGACUCCUACGGGAGGCAGCAGCAAGGAAUUUUCCGCAAUGGGCGAAAGCCUGACGGAGCAACGCCGCGUGCGGGAGGACGCCCUUCGGGGUGUAAACCGCUUUUCGGGGGGACGAAGGAAGUGACGGUACCCCCGGAAGAAGGCCCGGCUAACUACGUGCCAGCAGCCGCGGUAAGACGUAGGGGCCGAGCGUUGUCCGGAAUUACUGGGCGUAAAGGGCGCGCAGGCGGCCGGUCGCAUCGGCGGUGAAAGCCCCCCGCUCAACGGGGGAGGGUUCGUCGAGAUGGACUGGCUGGAGGCAGGGAGAGGGCGGUGGAAUUCCGGGUGUAGUGGUGAAAUGCGUAGAGAUCCGGAGGAACACCAGUGGCGAAGGCGGCCGCCUGGACCUGACCUGACGCUGAGGCGCGAAGGCGUGGGGAGCGAACGGGAUUAGAUACCCCGGUAGUCCACGCAGUAAACGAUGNNNNNNNNNNNNNNNNNGGCUAAAACUCAAAGGAAUUGACGGGGGCCCGCACAAGCAGCGGAGCGUGUGGUUUAAUUCGACGCAACGCGCAACACCUUACCAGGGCUUGACGUCCACCGAAUCCUCCUGAAAGGGAGGAGUGCCUUCGGGAGCGGUGAGACAGGUGCUGCAUGGCUGUCGUCAGCUCGUGUCGUGAGAUGUUGGGUUAAGUCCCGCAACGAGCGCAACCCUCGUCGCUAGUUACCAUGGUGUGUCUAGCGAGACUGCCGGACCAAACCGGAGGAAGGUGGGGAUGACGUCAAGUCAGCAUGGCCCUUACGCCCUGGGCGACACACACGCUACAAUGGCCGGGACAGUGGGCUGCCAAGCGGUAACGCGGAGCCAAUCCCCCAAACCCGGUCUCAGUUCAGAUUGAGGGCUGCAACUCGCCCUCAUGAAGGCGGAGUUGCUAGUAACCGCGGAUCAGCAUUGCCGCGGUGAAUAUGUUCCCGGGCCUUGUACACACCGCCCGUCACGUCAUGGAAGCCGGCAACACCUGAAGUCGGUGGGCCAACCGCAAGGAGGCAGCCGCCGAGGGUGGGGUUGGUGACUGGGACGAAGUCGUAACAAGGUAGCCGUAGCGGAAGCUGCGGCUG
This 1345-nucleotide ribosomal RNA is filed under the name wastewater metagenome. RNAcentral's name for it is "bacterial SSU rRNA". It matches the Rfam family "Bacterial small subunit ribosomal RNA". The record is from RNAcentral.